Molecule: non-coding RNA, 357 nt
Organism: Canis lupus familiaris (dog)
Lineage: Eukaryota; Metazoa; Chordata; Mammalia; Carnivora; Canidae
Source: the annotation of a RefSeq genome assembly
AUGGCAUGGAUUCCAGUAUUCCUCUUGCUCGUCUUUCACUGCACAGGUUCCCUGUCCCAGCUUGUGGUGACCCAGCCGCCCUCCCUCUCUGCAUCCCUGGGAUCAUCCGCCAGACUCACCUGCACCCUGAGCAGUGGCUUCAGUGUUGGCAGUUAUUCUGUAACUUGGUUCCAGCAGAAGCCAGGGAGCCCUCUCUGGUACCUCCUGUACUACCACUCAGACUCAGAUAAGCACCAGGGCUCCAGGGUCCCCAGCCGCUUCUCUGGAUCCAAGGACACCUCGGCCAAUGCAGGGCUCCUGCUCAUCUCUGGGCUGCAGCCUGAGGAUGAGGCUGACUACUACUGUUUACUGUGGCCA